This 429-nucleotide ribosomal RNA is filed under the name Fusobacteriota bacterium. Its description in RNAcentral is "Fusobacteria bacterium partial 16S ribosomal RNA". It matches the Rfam family "Bacterial small subunit ribosomal RNA", at positions 355 to 776 of the family's 1533-position model. The record is from RNAcentral. Lineage: Bacteria; Fusobacteriati; Fusobacteriota.
UGGGGAAUAUUUCACAAUGGGCGCAAGCCUGAUGCAGCCAUGCCGCGUGUAUGAAGAAGGCCUUCGGGUUGUAAAGUACUUUCAGCGGGGAGGAAGGGAGUAAAGUUAAUACCUUUGCUCAUUGACGUUACCCGCAGAAGAAGCACCGGCUAACUCCGUGCCAGCAGCCGCGGUAAUACGGAGGGUGCAAGCGUUAAUCGGAAUUACUGGGCGUAAAGCGCACGCAGGCGGUUUGUUAAGUCAGAUGUGAAAUCCCCGGGCUCAACCUGGGGACUGCAUCUGAUACUGGCAAGCUUGAGUCUCGUAGAGGGGGGUAGAAUUCCAGGUGUAGCGGUGAAAUGCGUAGAGAUCUGGAGGAAUACCGGUGGCGAAGGCGGCACCCGGGACGAAGACUGACGCUCAGGUGCGAAAGCGUGGGGAGCAAACAGG